UACGUAGGGUGCAAGCGUUGUCCGGAAUUAUUGGGCGUAAAGAGCUCGUAGGCGGUCUGUCGCGUCGGCUGUGAAAACUUGGGGCUCAACCCCAAGCCUGCAGUCGAUACGGGCAGACUAGAGUGCGGUAGGGGAGACUGGAAUUCCUGGUGUAGCGGUGAAAUGCGCAGAUAUCAAGGAGGGAACACCGGUGGCGAAGGCGGGGUCUCUGGGCCGUAACUGACGCUGAGGAGCGAAAGCAUGGGGGAGCGAACAGGA
RNAcentral lists this ribosomal RNA (258 nucleotides) under uncultured bacterium. RNAcentral's name for it is "partial 16S ribosomal RNA". It matches the Rfam family "Bacterial small subunit ribosomal RNA", at positions 524 to 777 of the family's 1533-position model. The record is from RNAcentral.